This 251-nucleotide ribosomal RNA is filed under the name uncultured bacterium. RNAcentral describes it as "partial small subunit ribosomal RNA". It matches the Rfam family "Bacterial small subunit ribosomal RNA", at positions 26 to 284 of the family's 1533-position model. The record is from RNAcentral.
AGAAUAAACGCUGGCGGCGUGCCUGACACAUGCAAGUCGAGCGUGAAAGGUCUUCGGACUAAGUAAAGCGGCGAACGGGUGAGUAACGCGUGAGAAUCUACCUUUCAGUGAGGAAUACCUUCGAGAAAUUGAAGUUAAUACUGCAUACGUCCCUUAGGGGAGAAAGAUGGCCUCUUUGCUGUCGCUGAAAGAUGAGCUUGCGUACGAUUAGCUAGUUGGUAGGGUAAAGGCCUACCAAGGCGAAGAUCGUU